AUGGCUCUUUGAAUACCCUUUAUAAAGAGUCUGACCUGCCCAGUGGUGUCCCUAAACGGCCGCGGUACUCUGACCGUGCGAAGGUAGCAUAAUCAUUUGGCUUAUAAUUGAAGUCUGGAAUGAAAGGUUUAACAAGAAUGAAGCUGUCUCUUAAGUUAUUUUAGAAUUUUAUUAUUAAGUUAAAAAGCUUAAAUAUUAUAAAAAGACGAGAAGACCCUUUUGAGUUUAAGAAUAUGUAUAAAAUAUUUUACAUUUAUGAAAAUAUAUUUAUGUAAAAAACUUUGGUUGGGGCGACCCAUGAACAAUUAAAGCUUCUCAUUAAACCUUCAGGUCUAUUUACUGUGAUCCAUUAGUAUAAUGAUUAAUAGAAUUAAUUACCAUAGGGAUAACAGCAUUAUCUUUUUAGAGAGUUCAAAUUGAAAAAAAGGUUUGUGACCUCGAUGUUGGACCAAGAUAUCCUAAAGGUGCAGUAGCCUAUAAGGGUUGGUCUGUUCGACCAUUAAAAUCUUACGUGAUCUGAGUUCAGACCGG
RNAcentral lists this ribosomal RNA (531 nucleotides) under Pacifica sp. MNHN IM 2009-16135. Its description in RNAcentral is "partial large subunit ribosomal RNA". It matches the Rfam family "Bacterial large subunit ribosomal RNA", at positions 1815 to 2619 of the family's 2925-position model. Lineage: Eukaryota; Metazoa; Mollusca; Gastropoda; Littorinimorpha; Velutinidae. The record is from RNAcentral.